Molecule: long non-coding RNA, 1556 nt
Organism: Dermochelys coriacea (leatherback sea turtle)
Lineage: Eukaryota; Metazoa; Chordata; Testudines; Dermochelyidae
Exons: 2
Source: RefSeq, a predicted model, not a curated record
UGAAGACAGGAUACCAGGCUAGAUGGACCUUUGGUCUGACCCAGUAUGGCCGUUCUUAUGUUCUUAAGUAAAUUACAAUUCCCAAUCACAGCUGGAGGCUUCUGUUUCCCCAACUUUCAGCAUUAUCAUGCAAACUUUAUCAUCAGCUAGACAGCCCUCUGGCUCCAGAGCAUAAUAGUGCUGCCUAGCUGCUAGUGGAACAACAGUGGUCCAUCCCCUCCAGCUGGUAGGAAUGCUGGGUUUAGUUUAUUAUGGUUUUGAUUUUAGAAUAUUCUCUACAGCAUUGGCUACCAGAGACUCACGGGCUAGUUUGGCUAGAAAAUUUAAAUUCCAUCCCAUCUCACAUGUUGAUGCUGUACUUUGAGGCAACCAUUUGUUGAAAAUUGACAAGAUACCAUUUAGUGUGGAAAGUAGAAGGAUAAGAGGGUAAUUUGGUCUAUUUAUUACAGUUUUUUCAAUAUAAAUGCACAAACCUUUAGCUGCUGGAAAGUAAGAUUCGGUAGUUUUCAUAUCUCUGUAUGCAGCUAUUACUGGAUAUAUUGGAUUUCAGAUUGUCUUUAAAAUGAUGAUGAAAUAUUUUAUAUCAUCUAUAGGUGGUGCCAGAGAUUCAGAUAAAAUUUGAACUUAGCCAGUUACUUGAAGUACAUAUAUUUCCUGUGAAACAGAAACUUUGUGAUUUUCUGUCUUCAACUCUUUGCUAGUUACAAAUGAAAAAACAUCUCUAUAGCUACUUCCAUAAGAAGUUGCAGGACACUUAACAGCAAAAAUUAUUAAAAUUGUCAGCAUGUUAAGAGCAAUUAAAAGAACAAACUAUGAAAAUCAGUAAAGAUCUGUGUUGUCCCACUCAAAGCAGAUUUCUAGAUAGAACCAAUUUAAUGUAACUGUACAGAAAAUUAAUUUUAAAAACUCCCUUUCAAUUUAGUUUUAAUCUGUAAACAGUUUGCAGCCUGUAGUAGAGCAGCUGACUAAGUAGCGUAAAAUAAGCAAAUUCAGCACAAGUGUUAUUGGUCAAAAUUGGCUGAAUUUACACUUGUGCAGCUCCUCUGUGUGUGCACUAUUGUAUCAGAGUUCCCAGGAGCCUUAUAUUAACUCCAUGUCACCAUUACACAAUUCUGUUAUCUGCAUUUCACUUUCUCAAAAUAGAGUUGUUUACCUUUUAAAAUAGGAAACCAGUAGAUUGAUGUAUUAUGAAGGCUAGCCCUUUAUGCUGGUCCUAUGUAUAGUUCUAAGAUAAACAGGAAAGAUAAAAAGGUGAGAAUGAAUAGACAAUGGCAUAGUACUGCUGUCUUCAACAGUUCAGCUGUUUGCAUUACACUUGAGGAAAUAAUCUGUAGAGUUAGUUUUUUCCCCCUCCAUUCUCCAAAAAUAGGGUAGCCUGAAAUAAAGUUGAUUUUUUUUUCUUCCACAGAAUACUAACACAAACAUGCAGUGCUGACCAUAGUGUAUUAGAGCUGAUAGUGUAUUGCUUUAAUAUCUGAUAUUUGUUUAGUAUGUUCAUGCUGCUGUCAACUGAAUUAUUGUUUCCUUGUUAAUUCAUAACAAGUCCCUCUCUCUCA